ACCGGCGCACGGGUGCGUAACGCGUAUGCAAUCUACCUUUCACAGAGGGAUAGCCCAGAGAAAUUUGGAUUAAUACCUCAUAGUAUUAUAGAGUGGCAUCACUUUAUAAUUAAAGUCACAACGGUGAAAGAUGAGCAUGCGUCCCAUUAGCUAGUUGGUAAGGUAACGGCUUACCAAGGCAACGAUGGGUAGGGGUCCUGAGAGGGAGAUCCCCCACACUGGUACUGAGACACGGACCAGACUCCUACGGGAGGCAGCAGUGAGGAAUAUUGGACAAUGGGCGCAAGCCUGAUCCAGCCAUGCCGCGUGCAGGAUGACGGUCCUAUGGAUUGUAAACUGCUUUUGCACAGGAAGAAACACUCGGACGUGUCCGAGCUUGACGGUACUGUGAGAAUAAGGAUCGGCUAACUCCGUGCCAGCAGCCGCGGUAAUACGGAGGAUCCAAGCGUUAUCCGGAAUCAUUGGGUUUAAAGGGUCCGUAGGCGGUUUAGUAAGUCAGUGGUGAAAGCCCAUCGCUCAACGGUGGAACGGCCAUUGAUACUGCUAAACUUGAAUUAUUAGGAAGUAACUAGAAUAUGUAGUGUAGCGGUGAAAUGCUUAGAGAUUACAUGGAAUACCAAUUGCGAAGGCAGGUUACUACUAAUGGAUUGACGCUGAUGGACGAAAGCGUGGGUAGCGAACAGGAUUAGA
RNAcentral lists this ribosomal RNA (690 nucleotides) under Flavobacterium sp. PU-RO8-5. RNAcentral describes it as "bacterial SSU rRNA". It matches the Rfam family "Bacterial small subunit ribosomal RNA", at positions 94 to 782 of the family's 1533-position model. Lineage: Bacteria; Pseudomonadati; Bacteroidota; Flavobacteriia; Flavobacteriales; Flavobacteriaceae. The record is from RNAcentral.